GAUGAACGCUGACAGAAUGCUUAACACAUGCAAGUCUACUUGAACUUCGGUUUGGGUGGCGGACGGGUGAGUAACGCGUAAAGAACUUGCCUCACAGUUAGGGACAACAUUUGGAAACGAAUGCUAAUACCUGAUAUUAUGAUUUUAGGGCAUCCUAAGAUUAUGAAAGCUAUAUGCGCUGUGAGAGAGCUUUGCGUCCCAUUAGCUAGUUGGAGAGGUAACAGCUCACCAAGGCGAUGAUGGGUAGCCGGCCUGAGAGGGUGAACGGCCACAAGGGGACUGAGACACGGCCCUUACUCCUACGGGAGGCAGCAGUGGGGAAUAUUGGACAAUGGACCAAAAGUCUGAUCCAGCAAUUCUGUGUGCACGAUGACGUUUUUCGGAAUGUAAAGUGCUUUCAGUUGGGAAGAAAAAAAUGACGGUACCAACAGAAGAAGUGACGGCUAAAUACGUGCCAGCAGCCGCGGUAAUACGUAUGUCACAAGCGUUAUCCGGAUUUAUUGGGCGUAAAGCGCGUCUAGGUGGUUAUGUAAGUCUGAUGUGAAAAUGCAGGGCUCAACUCUGUAUUGCGUUGGAAACUGCAUGACUAGAGUACUGGAGAGGUAAGCGGAACUACAAGUGUAGAGGUGAAAUUCGUAGAUAUUUGUAGGAAUGCCGAUGGGGAAGCCAGCUUACUGGACAGAUACUGACGCUAAAGCGCGAAAGCGUGGGUAGCAAACAGG
Molecule: ribosomal RNA, 722 nt
Filed under: uncultured Fusobacterium sp.
Lineage: Bacteria; Fusobacteriati; Fusobacteriota; Fusobacteriia; Fusobacteriales; Fusobacteriaceae
Description: bacterial SSU rRNA
Rfam family: Bacterial small subunit ribosomal RNA
Source: RNAcentral